UACAGAGGGUGCGAGCGUUAAUCGGAUUUACUGGGCGUAAAGGGCGCGUAGGCGGUGAGAUGUGUGUGAUGUGAAAGCCCCGGGCUUAACCUGGGAAGUGCAUCGCAAACUAUUUGACUGGAGUAUAUGAGAGGGUGGCGGAAUUUCCGGUGUAGCGGUGAAAUGCGUAGAGAUCGGAAGGAACGUCAAUGGCGAAGGCAGCCACCUGGCAUAAUACUGACGCUGAGGCGCGAAAGCGUGGGUAGCGAACAGG
This 253-nucleotide ribosomal RNA is filed under the name uncultured bacterium. RNAcentral describes it as "partial 16S ribosomal RNA". It matches the Rfam family "Bacterial small subunit ribosomal RNA", at positions 524 to 776 of the family's 1533-position model. The record is from RNAcentral.